Molecule: transfer RNA, 72 nt
Filed under: Buceros rhinoceros silvestris
Lineage: Eukaryota; Metazoa; Chordata; Aves; Bucerotiformes; Bucerotidae
Rfam family: tRNA
About the family: Transfer RNA (tRNA) molecules are approximately 80 nucleotides in length. Their secondary structure includes four short double-helical elements and three loops (D, anti-codon, and T loops).
Source: Rfam by way of RNAcentral
GGGGAUGUAGCUCAGCGGGAGAGCGCUUGCUUCGCAUGUAAGAGCCCCUGGGUUCAACCCCCAGCAUCUCCA